Molecule: transfer RNA, 67 nt
Filed under: Halomonas sp. HL-93
Lineage: Bacteria; Pseudomonadati; Pseudomonadota; Gammaproteobacteria; Oceanospirillales; Halomonadaceae
Description: tRNA-Met
Rfam family: tRNA
About the family: Transfer RNA (tRNA) molecules are approximately 80 nucleotides in length. Their secondary structure includes four short double-helical elements and three loops (D, anti-codon, and T loops).
Source: RNAcentral
GGGGUGGAGCAGUCUGGUAGCUCGUCGGGCUCAUAACCCGAAGGUCAUCGGUUCAAAUCCGGUCCCC